CUGGCCCAAGUUGGCACCAUCAUUGCGCUCUUCCCAGGCAGUGGAGAAGCACAGAUACUUUUGAGUAGCAGCGUAAAAUGAUCAGGGCUGUUCCGUAAGAAUAUUAUAUGGGACCUAAAAUUCUUAAAAAGAAUGAUACGCUCAUUUGUGUGUAGAUGUAAUCAAGAAUAUCUAGUUGAGAUCCUCCUGAAUUAUCUGGAUGGUCCCUAAAUCCAAUGACAAGUGUCCUUAUAAGAGACAGAAGAGAAGAAGACACAGGCACAGAGAAAACCAUGUGAAGAUGGAGGCACAGAUUGGAGUGAUGCAACCACAAGCCAAUGAAUUCCUGGAGCUACCAAAAACUGGGUGGGGCAAGGAAGGAUUCUACCCUAGAGCUUUGGGAGGGAGUACAGACCUGAUGACACCUUGAAUUUGGACUCCUGGCCUC
Molecule: long non-coding RNA, 427 nt
Organism: Hipposideros armiger (great roundleaf bat)
Lineage: Eukaryota; Metazoa; Chordata; Mammalia; Chiroptera; Hipposideridae
Exons: 3
Source: RefSeq, a predicted model, not a curated record